This 107-nucleotide small nuclear RNA is filed under the name Calidris pugnax (ruff). Lineage: Eukaryota; Metazoa; Chordata; Aves; Charadriiformes; Scolopacidae. The record is from RNAcentral.
GUGCUCGCUUUGGCAGCACAUAUACUAAAAUUGGAAUGAUACGGAGAAGAUUAGCAUGGCCCUUGCACAAGGAUGACGUGCAAAUUCAUGAAGCCUUACAUAUUUUU